AUUGAACGCUGGCGGCAGGCCUAACACAUGCAAGUCGAACGGUAACAGGAAGAAGCUUGCUUCUUUGCUGACGAGUGGCGGACGGGUGAGUAAUGUCUGGGAAACUGCCUGGUGGAGGGGGAUAACUACUGGAAACGGUAGCUAAUACCGCAUAACGUCGCAAGACCAAAGAGGGGGACCUUCGGGGCCUCUUGCCAUCGGAUGUGCCCAGAUGGGAUUAGCUAGUAGGUGGGGUAACGGCUCACCUAGGCGACGAUCCCUAGCUGGUCUGAGAGGAUGACCAGCCACACUGGAACUGAGACACGGUCCAGACUCCUACGGGAGGCAGCAGUGGGGAAUAUUGCACAAUGGGCGCAAGCCUGAUGCAGCCAUGCCGCGUGUAUGAAGAAGGCCUUCGGGUUGU
This 403-nucleotide ribosomal RNA is filed under the name uncultured bacterium. Its description in RNAcentral is "bacterial SSU rRNA". It matches the Rfam family "Bacterial small subunit ribosomal RNA", at positions 30 to 426 of the family's 1533-position model. The record is from RNAcentral.